RNAcentral lists this long non-coding RNA (425 nucleotides) under Capsella rubella. RNAcentral describes it as "long non-coding RNA (CRUB_LNC001348)". Lineage: Eukaryota; Viridiplantae; Streptophyta; Magnoliopsida; Brassicales; Brassicaceae. The record is from RNAcentral.
AAGAAUUUGAUUAUUUAUAUUUUAUACAGUGUAAAUUAGAUAAUGUAUUAGACAAAAUUUGGAAUUGUCAAAAACAACCAAAACAGGCAUAUAUGUAAAGUAGCAGUAACCAAGGCCUCUAUGGGUAGAAGAAACCAGGAAGGUCCAUUAAUUAGCCCAAACUUAAUAUAUUAAGUAGAAGAGAGAAAAAGAAAAAUAGAUGUAAAUCACCCAAAAAGAGAGAAACACAAUGGCCGUUCAAAAAAAUGUAGAAGGUGGGAAGAUUUUUUGUAAAAGCAAUGGAAGAAUUCUAGAGACCCUGUUCGAGAAGGUAAUCACCCAACCUCUCCACGACCAUGUUGCAUUGUCCUGGUGUCACUGGCUCUUCGUAGAUCCCAAACACACACGACUGUCCUGUUUUCUUUAUCGUUAUGCCUCCCGCUCCC